GGCGACCCUGCGGCCAUCCCGGCCGGUCAGCAUACAGAGAGGCGACCCCGCGGCCAUCCCGGCCGGUCAGCAUACAGAGAGGCGACCCUGCGGCCAUCCCGGCCGGUCAGCAUACAGAGAGGCGACCCUGCGGCCAUCCCAGCUGGUCAGCAUACAGAGAGGCGACCCCGCGGACAUCCCGGCCAGUCAGCAUACAGAGAGGCGACCCCGCGGCCAUCCCGGCCGGUCAGCAUACAGAGAGGCGACCCUGCGGCCAUCAUGGCAAGUCAUUGCAGUGAUCCCAGCCGGUCUCUGUACAGAUUGGUCACGG
Molecule: long non-coding RNA, 310 nt
Organism: Bufo bufo (common toad)
Lineage: Eukaryota; Metazoa; Chordata; Amphibia; Anura; Bufonidae
Exons: 3
Source: RefSeq, a predicted model, not a curated record